This 3864-nucleotide small RNA is filed under the name Pan troglodytes (chimpanzee). RNAcentral's name for it is "retained intron". The record is from RNAcentral. Lineage: Eukaryota; Metazoa; Chordata; Mammalia; Primates; Hominidae.
GACAACAUGAUUUUUAAGAGCCAAAGUAAUUUUGAUGUAUUGUAAGUUUGGGAACUACUGGUCUAAUACCCCUGACUUAAUAUCACAUUCCUGAUAAAUAUUACUAAAUGUAAGUCACAUCAUGUCUGAUUCAUCAUACUUAUAUUUUGCACCUUCUUACCUUCUUCUGUUAUUAAUUUGUUGCUUUUUCAACUUAUAUUUUAGAUUGAGGGUACAUAUGCAGGUUUGUUACAUGGCAUACUGCAUGAUGCUGAGGUUUGCGGUAUGAUUGAACCUGUCACCCAGGUAGUGAGCAUAGCACACAACAGGUAGUUUUUCAACUCUUGCCCCCCUCUCUCCCUCCUCCAAAAUCUAUCUUAAGUGCUAUGGUAUAUACAAGAAGGAAGACACAAAACCACGUGGGCUUUUUUUUUUUUUCUUUUUUUUCUUUUUGAGAUGGAGUCUCACUUUAUUGCUAGGCUGGAGUGCAGUGAUGUGAUCUCAGCUCACUGCAACCUCCGCCUCCCAGAUUUAAGUGAUUCUCCUGCCUCAGCCUCCCAAGUAGCUGGGACUACAGGCGUGCACCACCACGACCAGCUAAUUUUUGUACUUUUAGUAGAGACGGGGUUUCACCAUGUUGGCCAGGAUGGUCUCCAUCUCUUGACCUCAUGAUCCGCCCACCUCGGCCUCUCAAAAGUGCUGGGAUUACAGGUGUGACCCACCGCGCUCAGCCCACAUGGGCUCUUUUAUCUCAAUUUGUGUGUGUGUGUGUGUGUGUGUGUAUGUGCAUAUUAUAGGUGUGUGUAGGAAAAAGAAUGUUAGAAAUGUACCAAUUUUGAAGGCGUAGACUAUGAAAUUACAAAUGCUUCAAAAUUUUCUUCCCAAUACUUACGUGGCAUUUUAUAAAUUUCCACCAAUAAACGUGUAUUAUUUUUAUUGAAAAAGCAUAUUUUUAACAUGCCCUUCUAGAUGCCCUCCUAGCCAGACUGAAUCACCUCCCAUUUGAUUUUUCUUAAUUUUCUACCUUUAGGUUCUGGCUCAUUCAUUAACAUCAAUUUCCAUUCAUAAGUCCUCACAAACCCACUUUUCCUCUUGCCUGAGUGCCUCACAUACCCUACUGCCUGAGACGGUUCCAGAGGCGGCCUCCUCUCUCCCUUAGAAACACCAGGCACACACCUGCCCCCAGUCUCGCCUGCACUCUCCUUUCCUCCCGCAGAGAGGCAUUCCUUUCUCCUCCUCUCAUCCUACACACACUAUAAGAGACAACUGAAAUCUUGCCUCCUCCAGCCAGCUUCUUAAUUCAUUUGUUCUCAAAGCCCUGGUUUGAGCUCACACAGCAUCUAGAGUGUUUUACAAAAUAUAAAAUAUUAUUAUCCCUGCCCUGAAUUUUUUGUUUUGGUAUGUGUGUUAUUUUCCCCUCCAAUAAGAUUGUGCCUUGGAGAGGGCUGAGAACAUAGUAUCAUAGAUAAAUGAAUAAAAUAACAUAAAAUAAAAUAAAAAUACAUAUACCCUUUGAACUAACUAUUCCACUUCUAUGUAAGCACAAUUAUAUGCCAGUAACACUCAUUUUAACGCUACUUUAGUGGCAAAAAAUUGUAAACACCUCAGAUGCCUAUUAAAAGAGGAAUGGUUUAAAGAUACUAUUAUAGCCACACUAUGAAAUAUAAUACAGUAGUUAAGAAGAACGAGCUUGAUUUAUAUGUACUGACAAGAAGAAUCUAUAAGGUAUGUAAACAGUUGAAAAAAAAGCUACAGAGUUUUACAUUUGUCAAGAUCUAACACUAAACAAAAUUAGAAACAUGUGAAAUCCAUAUACACACGUAAAAAAAUACAUAUAAUGAGCCGUGGAUGGAAACUCGCAAAUGUGAUAUUAAAGACUAGCACUAUAAGACUGAGUGAGAUUUGGAGAGUAUCUCCCCAGCGGGGCACCUUGACCAAAGCCAUCAGCUGAACCACCUUCUUCCUGUCCCUAGGAAAAAACCCUGAUCCGUGGGCUAAGAAUCUGAAUGAAAAAGACUAUGAGUUGCUGUGCCUUGAUGGUACCAGGAAACCUGUGAAGGAGUAUGCGAACUGCCACCUGGCCAGAGCCCCGAAUCACGCUGUGGUCACACGGAAAGAUAAGGAAGCUUGCGUCCACAAGAUAUUACGUCAACAGCAGCACCUAUUUGGAAGCAACGUAACUGACUGCUCGGGCAACUUUUGUUUGUUCCGGUCGGAAACCAAGGACCUUCUGUUCAGAGAUGACACAGUAUGUUUGGCCAAACUUCAUGACAGAAACACAUAUGAAAAAUACUUAGGAGAAGAAUAUGUCAAGGCUGUUGGUAACCUGAGAAAAUGCUCCACCUCAUGUGAGUAGGAGGAACAGCAUGGGGAAGUGGCAACCAAACAUGGUGGUGAGUGCUGGGGUGGUGGGUACAGGAGGGGUAGGCUGUGGCCCUUGGGAUAGGACAACAUGGACAAAAUGAAAUGGUGAGUGAACAAUCUAAGCCCGGCACGUAUGACAGGCUAGACUGUAAGGGGAUACAGGCUCAGAGCACUAAGGUAGUGAACUUAUUGGGCAUAGAGAAUUCCAUCUUAUUUCUAAGAAAAGGACUGGGUUUAUGUGUACAUGCCAUUGCUCUGCAGUAAACUUUUGAUUAGAGUUGCCUUGUCCAAUAUGGUAGCCACCAGCAAGAUGUGACUAUUUAAAUUUAAGUUAAUUAAAAUUAAACUAAAUAAAAGAUGUAUUUCUUCAAUCCCACCUAGCUGCAUUUCAAGUGCUCAACAGCCACAUGUGGCUCCAUAUUGGUCAGCAAAGAGAAUGUUUGCAUCAUCACAGAAAGCUCUUUCAGACAGUGCUGCUCUAGACAGCUUCAACAAUGAUAGGAUAGGUUCUAGUAACCAUAAAGUUGCUAUGCAUACUACUCAUUUGGAACACCAGUUUCUGAGAACUGAAAUAGAAUAAAACACAUCUUUGCAGUAUAACUAUGUUGGGUGUAACUGAGUCACCUGAAAAAGUUUGGAAGCUGGGGAAUAACAUGUGGUGGUGUAGGGCAGUUAGUCUUUCCACAGGAGUAUGCAGAUAAGGGAGUCUUGAUCCUUAUUAAAAUGCUGAUUCUCAGAGCCUUGAGAUACUGAUUUAGAAAGUCUGUGCUAGGUCAGGUAUCCGCAUUUUAAAAGCUGCCCCCAUGUAAUUCUGACGGAAGCAGCAAUGUGCUUGUCUAGGUUCGCUAUUGUGAGAAUCAAGUUGAUAUUUACCUAACCUAUAUCCUCCACAAAAGCAGACAGUCUGGCUCUGCUCUUCUUUCCUCCAUCCUUAGCCCACAGCACAGAAACUGGCACAUUGCAGGUGCUUUUUGCUAUGUCAGUUCCUCACCUGCUUAAAGAGGUCAGGGAGGACAGUCUUCCUGGGCGACUCCCGGCCUCAGGAACUCAGAUGUGUGAGCCUCACCCAUAAGAAACAAGGUGGAGGACCCUGUAGGGCAGGAAAAUCAUGUUAACAGCUUUGGCGUGGGGCACUCCCCAGGAUAGGCACAGGAGCUGCGCAGGCAAGUAGAAAAGAGCCCUGGGAGAAUGGCCUAGUUCACGGAAGAGGAGGCAGCAAGUCUGCACACUUUGUACUAUGCUGAAAUUGUUCAAUCACUCGACAGUUCAGAAAUAAAUAUAGGAAGAUUUUGAAAAUCCUACCUCUCUGCUCUGCUCCACAGCACUCCUGGAAGCCUGCACUUUCCGUAGACCUUAAAAUCUCAGAGGUAGGGCUGCCACCAAGGUGAAGAUGGGAACGCAGAUGAUCCAUGAGUUUGCCCUGGUUUCACUGGCCCGAGUGGUUUGUGCUAACCACGUCUGUCUUCACAGCUCUGUGUUGCCAUGUGUGCUGAACAAAAAAUAAAAAUUAUUAUUGAUUUU